UGGGGGAGUAUUGCACAAUGGGGGAAACCCGUAGAUGCAGCGACGCCGCGUGAGUGAAGAAGUAUUUCGGUAUGUAAAGCUCUAUCAGCAGGAAAGAUAAUGACGGUACCUGACUAAGAAGCACCGGCUAAAUACGUGCCAGCAGCCGCGGUAAUACGUAUGGUGCAAGCGUUAUCCGGAUUUACUGGGUGUAAAGGGAGCGCAGACGGCAUGGCAAGUCAGAAGUGAAAGCCCGGGGCUUAACUCCGGGACUGCUUUUGAAACUGUGCAGCUAGAGUGCAGGAGAGGUAAGCGGAAUUCCUAGUGUAGCGGUGAAAUGCGUAGAUAUUAGGAGGAACACCAGUGGCGAAGGCGGCUUACUGGACUGUAACUGACGUUGAGGCUCGAAAGCGUGGGGAGCAAACAGGAUUAGAUACCCUGGUAGU
RNAcentral lists this ribosomal RNA (425 nucleotides) under uncultured Lachnospiraceae bacterium. RNAcentral's name for it is "bacterial SSU rRNA". It matches the Rfam family "Bacterial small subunit ribosomal RNA", at positions 354 to 794 of the family's 1533-position model. Lineage: Bacteria; Bacillati; Bacillota; Clostridia; Lachnospirales; Lachnospiraceae. The record is from RNAcentral.